Molecule: non-coding RNA, 337 nt
Organism: Arachis ipaensis
Lineage: Eukaryota; Viridiplantae; Streptophyta; Magnoliopsida; Fabales; Fabaceae
Source: RefSeq, a predicted model, not a curated record
AGAGACACAAAAACCCUUAACCCAACACUACUGCCAUCCCUUCCUCCUUUUUCAUUUCUCAAUUUCAGUGCUUCCCACCGGAUCACCCCAUUUUGUCGAUGCCACUCCCCUCUUCGGCGUCGAGUUCGCCUCCAACGAGAAGGCCUUCACCAUUUCUCCAUUGCUUCGAAUACGUAGCUGUAAUCAUAAAAUUUACAAUACUGACUAAGACCAAGUCCUUUUGACACGAAUCACCAUUAGCAAAAUCUAUUCAAUAAGGAUGCAUACCUUGGCAAGGUUCAUAAGGCAAAGAUUGGGUUGAAAGAAUGAAGAAAAAGCAUGCAAAAAUGGAGAAUUC